This 253-nucleotide ribosomal RNA is filed under the name uncultured bacterium. Its description in RNAcentral is "partial 16S ribosomal RNA". It matches the Rfam family "Bacterial small subunit ribosomal RNA", at positions 524 to 776 of the family's 1533-position model. The record is from RNAcentral.
CACGUAUGGGGCGAGCGUUGUUCGGAAUUAUUGGGCGUAAAGGGUAUGCAGGCGGCCAAGUAAGUCUGGUGUAUAAUCCCGCAGCUUAACUGCGGAUCUGCGCUGGAAACUGUUUGGCUGGAGUACAGGAAGGGGAGUUGGAAUUCCAGGUGUAGGGGUGAAAUCUGUAGAUAUCUGGAAGAACAUCAGUGGCGAAGGCGAACUCCUGGCCAUGUACUGACGCUGAGAUACGAAAGCGUGGGGAGCAAACAGG